This 865-nucleotide long non-coding RNA is filed under the name Nicotiana tabacum (common tobacco). Its description in RNAcentral is "long non-coding RNA (NTAB_LNC004980)". The record is from RNAcentral. Lineage: Eukaryota; Viridiplantae; Streptophyta; Magnoliopsida; Solanales; Solanaceae.
UAUAAUUUAAAUGGAUUGGUGAGAGAGUUAUUUUCUCUAUAGUUUCUUCCAAAUUGGUUUCGAUAUUACAACUAAAACUAAGCAUUCCAGAAAAUGAUGGGAAUCAAAGUGUCUUCUUAAUCAUCCUGGUCUAACAAACAGUAAUGUAAUUCACCUUAGAAUCUCAAUAGUACUUACGUGGCACAGUGUUUGGAGACAGCUGAAAUGUGCUCUCCCCGUAUGCGGACAAUAUAAAACAAGUCUGCAAGCAAAAAAGUUUUAAGUUGUAGACCUGCAGAUGAAAUACAGCGUGUUUAAGUGCAUUUACAGUUUUGCCUACAUGUUUAGUAUAGAAUCAACAGCUGGGGAGGAAAGUGUUUACCAUAUUCUGUACCUUUAUGCAGUGACAAUCCUCUAAAGCUGGCACAGCAAUUACUUUGUGGCCGACCUCCAGCCCCCCCGGCACAAUACAAAUGCACAUCAAAUUCAGAGAGAGAACUUAAAACUGCAUAGAUAACCAUGAGCUUCAUAAACAAGACAUCUAAUCGUUUCUGUCCUCAAUCUUCUGCAACAUCCACGAGUUCAUUUAAAUGAACUAAUUUAGCAGUUUGAUAGUCCUGUAUAUUCAAAGUGAGAAUUAAAGAAUGUAAACUCCUUAAAUUUUUUCAGAAACAGAACAGUUUCAAAUUUUAAGAACCAUCAAGCUAGGAAAUUUGACAUCUUCUAACAUACUACUUUUUGUAUCUAUACACUUAAUCUGAUACUGGGAAGACAUGUAUUGAACAUUUUAAAAACUUAGUAUUACCUUGUCUUUCUACUCCAGCAUGUUUUGUUGCGGGAGAGCAUUUCCAUUUUAUGCAAACAAAGGUGAAGCAGUGAGUUGCAC